RNAcentral lists this ribosomal RNA (497 nucleotides) under uncultured bacterium. RNAcentral's name for it is "partial 16S ribosomal RNA". It matches the Rfam family "Bacterial small subunit ribosomal RNA", at positions 28 to 507 of the family's 1533-position model. The record is from RNAcentral.
GAUGAACGCUGGCGGCGUGCCUAAUACAUGCAAGUCGAGCGAACGGACGAGAAGCUUGCUUCUCUGAUGUUAGCGGCGGACGGGUGAGUAACACGUGGAUAACCUACCUAUAAGACUGGGAUAACUUCGGGAAACCGGAGCUAAUACCGGAUGAUAUUUUGAACCGCAUGGUUCAAAAGUGAAAGACGGUCUUGCUGUCACUUAUAGAUGGAUCCGCGCUGCAUUAGCUAGUUGGUAAGGUAACGGCUUACCAAGGCAACGAUGCAUAGCCGACCUGAGAGGGUGGUCGGCCACACGGGAGCGGAGACACGGUCCAGACUCCUACGGGAGGCAGCAGUAGGGAAUCUUCCGCAAUGGGCGAAAGCCUGACGGAGCAACGCCGCGUGAGUGAUGAAGGUCUUCGGAUCGUAAAACUCUGUUAUUAGGGAAGAACAUAUGUGUAAGUAACUGUGCACAGCUUGACGGUACCUAAUCAGAAAGCCACGGCUAACUACGUG